Molecule: ribosomal RNA, 1461 nt
Filed under: human gut metagenome
Description: bacterial LSU rRNA
Rfam family: Bacterial large subunit ribosomal RNA
Source: RNAcentral
CUCCGAAUGCUCACGUUUAGAAGUCCGGCAGUAAGGGGGCGGGUGCUAAGGUCCGUCCCCGAGAGGAGAAGAAUCCAGACCGUCGUCUAAGGUCCCGGAAUUCUGCCUGAGUUAGUCUAACGAAGUCUGGUCCCCGCGACAGCUAGGAUGUUGGCUUGGAAGCAGCCAUUCAUUUAAAGAGUGCGUAACAGCUCACUAGUCGAGGGUCCGGGCAUGGAUAAUAAUCGGGUAUAAGGCAGAUACCGAAGGCACGGGAUAGCAAUUUAUAAAAGUAUCGGUAGGGGAGCAUUCCAUGUGCGCAGAAUGGUGAAGGUGACUGAUCCUGGAGCGCAUGGAAAAGCAAAUGUAGGUAUAAGUAACGAUAAAAAGGGUGAGAUUCCCUUUCGCUGUAAGACUAAGGUUUCCCGGGCAAUGUCAAUCAGCCCGGGGUCAGUCGGGUCCUAAGCCUCAGCCGAACGGCGAGGGCGAUGGCAGAUACGGUUAAUAUUCCGUAACUACCUUAAGGAGCGAUGUGGAGACGGAGUCGUGAAACUUCCGCGGACCGACGGAAUGGUCCGUUAAAGAGUGUAGAUGUUGAUGAUUGUAGGCAAAUCCGCAAUCAGAGUCGAACUUGAUAGUACAGGCAUCUCUUCGGAGACGCUUGAUAGUGAGGGUAAACAUACUCCCGAGAAAAUCCGCUAAGCAUAUUUUUAAGGUACCCGUACCGCAAACGGACACACGUAGUCGAGUAGAACAUACUAAGGCGUUGAGAGAUUCAUGGUUAAGGAACUAGGCAAACUGACCCCGUAACUUCGGGAUAAGGGGUCCUCGUCGUAAGGCGAGGCGCAGAGAAUAGGUCCAGGCAACUGUUUAACAAAAACACAGGGCUGUGCGAACUCGAAAGAUGAAGUAUACAGCCUGACACCUGCCCGGUGCCGGAAGGUUAAGAGGAGAUGUCACCGCAAGGGAAGCAUUGAAUUGAAGCCCCGGUAAACGGCGGCCGUAACUAUAACGGUCCUAAGGUAGCGAAAUUCCUUGUCGGGUAAGUUCCGACCUGCACGAAUGGUGUAAUGAUCCGGACGCUGUCUCAACCAUGAGCUCAGUGAAAUUGUAGUAUCGGUGAAGAUGCCGAUUACCCGCGAUGGGACGAAAAGACCCCGUGAACCUUUACUACAGCUUAGCAUUGACCUUGGUCAUCCGAUGUGUAGGAUAGGCCGGAGGCUUUGAAUCUGCGUCGCCAGGCGUGGUGGAGCCAUCCUUGAAAUACGGCCCUUUGGCUGUCUGAGGUCUAACGCGCAAUGCGCGGACACUGUUUGGUGGGUAGUUUGACUGGGGUGGUCGCCUCCAAAAGCGUAACGGAGGCUUCCAAAGGUGCCCUCGGACCGAUUGGUAACCGGUCUUAUAGAGUGCAAUGGCAUAAGGGCGCUUGACUGGGAGGCAGACAUGCCGAGCAGGCAGGAAACUGGGGCAUAGUGAUCCGGC